RNAcentral lists this ribosomal RNA (397 nucleotides) under uncultured bacterium. RNAcentral's name for it is "partial 16S ribosomal RNA". It matches the Rfam family "Bacterial small subunit ribosomal RNA", at positions 523 to 918 of the family's 1533-position model. The record is from RNAcentral.
AUACGUAGGUGACAAGCGUUAUCCGGAUUUACUGGGCGUAAAGGGCGUGUAGGCGGUCUUGCAAGUCAGAAGUGAAAUUCCUGAGCUCAACUCGGGCGCUGCUUCUGAAACUGCAGGACUUGAGUGCUGGAGGGGAUAGCGGAAUUCCUAGUGGAGCGGUAAAAUGCGCAGAUAUUAGGAAGAACACCGGUGGCGAAGGCGGCUAUCUGGACAGUAACUGACGCUGAGGCGCGAAAGCGUGGGGAGCAAACAGGAUUAGAUACCCGGGUAGGCCACGCCGUAAACGAUGAAUACUAGGUGUAGGGGGUAUCGACUCCCUCUGUGCCGCAGUUAACACAAUAAGUAUUCCGCCUGGGGAGUACGGCCGCAAGGUUGAAACUCAAAGGAAUUGACGGGG